GCGCCGGUGGCGGGGAAAAGGCGGAGUAUGCGACUUGCCCUCCGAAGGCAGAGGUCACAGGUUCGAAUCCUGUCGGGUGCGCCA
RNAcentral lists this transfer RNA (84 nucleotides) under Parahoeflea alexandrii. RNAcentral's name for it is "tRNA-Arg". Lineage: Bacteria; Pseudomonadati; Pseudomonadota; Alphaproteobacteria; Hyphomicrobiales; Rhizobiaceae. The record is from RNAcentral.